AUUACAGUUAUGAAGAAGCAACGGAAGUAACAUUAUGGUAUGGUGGUGACCACCACCUCAUGAGGAACUGUAUUCAAGAGCUGCAGCAUUUGGAAGGUCGAGAACCACUGAUCUAGAGCAUUAUCAGCAAUUUGGACUCAUUUGGGCCAUUAGCUCUUCUUCCUGCCCACCACAGACUCUGAAACCAGCCAGGCUGAAGGAGUGGCAUGCUCCUGGCAGUGGAAGCAGGCCUGUAAUUGGCUCACUAUUGGAUUGGAUUUGGCACAAAAUGACUUCCAGGCUUUCUGCUUCCUGACAGGAAAAUCCAGAAAUUACAAACCAUUUACGAGUUGAAAACUGGAAGAAGAGGAGAAAAAUCCCUUGAAGUCUCCAAUAUAAAAUGAAAGUGCUCUAGUGAAAUGUUGCCAAUGCCGUCUGGAGAAAAGGGGUUUGGAAAACUGCCACAGAGCAGGUUUUGAAAACUGGAGCUGCAAUGCCUCCUCCAGGAGAAAGAGGACACUUGCAGGCUGAAAAUCCACUCCCUGACAAAAGAAGCUCUGGAAGAACAAAGUAGGUGGUGCCUGAGCCGAAGGUCCUCUGGGAUGCUUAGGAGCCUCUGGGUUUUGCCUGUAUUAAUAUAUGUGAACCAUAUUCAUGCCUGAAGAAGAGGGCAGAAGAGGAUUGAUUAUCUGUGAACCUGGACUUACAGAACAUUGAAAGCUGUCAUGUGGGUACUAGUUACUGAACCAAGGUCCUAGGCAAGAGGAGCAAGUGCUCUUAACCACUGAGCCAGCUCCCCAACCCCUAGUUUGCAUGUUUAAAAUGAAAUGAUAUGUGUAGUGAAGGAUGG
Molecule: long non-coding RNA, 829 nt
Filed under: Cricetulus griseus (Chinese hamster)
Lineage: Eukaryota; Metazoa; Chordata; Mammalia; Rodentia; Cricetidae
Description: lncRNA (ENSCGRG00015038788.1)
Source: RNAcentral